This 433-nucleotide ribosomal RNA is filed under the name uncultured eukaryote. RNAcentral describes it as "bacterial SSU rRNA". It matches the Rfam family "Eukaryotic small subunit ribosomal RNA", at positions 120 to 555 of the family's 1831-position model. The record is from RNAcentral.
CUUGGCGGUCAUUCGUUAUAUGGAUAACUGUGGUAAUUCUAGAGCUAAUACAUGCGUUAACUGCGGACUUCUCGGAACGGUGGUAUUUAUUAGAUACAGAAUCAACUCACCUCUGGUGAUUUUGGAUGAUUCAUGAUAAAUGAACGGAGCGUAUAGCUUGGGCUGUCGCUGUGUCAUUCAAGUUUCUGACCUAUCAGCUAUCGACGGUAGGGUAUUGGCCUACCGUGGCAUUGACGGGUAACGGAGAAUUAGGGUUCGAUUCCGGAGAGGGAGACCGAGAAACGACUACCACAUCUAAGGAAGACAGCAGGCGCGUAAAUUACCCAAUCACAACACGGGGAGGUAGUGACAAUAUGUAACAAUAUACGGCCUUAUACGUCGUAUAAUCGGAAUGAGUACAAUUUAAAUCCCUUACCGAGGAACAAUUGGAGGA